This is a long non-coding RNA of Acanthochromis polyacanthus (spiny chromis), 627 nucleotides long. RefSeq lists it as uncharacterized. The record is from RefSeq and is a predicted model, not a curated record. The transcript is spliced from 3 exons. NCBI's taxonomy places the organism in Eukaryota, Metazoa, Chordata, Actinopteri, Pomacentridae.
UGAGUUCAUACUGAUGGUGCUAUGUUUACUUGCUGUAUGCCUCAUGCCUAAUCUUAGCCACAGUUCAAAGAUCUUCUUCUUUGUUGAUUCUAAAACUGAGGUCCAAUGUGAAGUCAUGAAUGUUGACCAGGAGCUGAACUUUGAGGCCCAAUCUUUGGUAUUUACUUAGUUCACUUCAUUCUACAUCAAAAAGGAAGUUUUGUGUUGGAAAGAGCUUUUUUGUACCUCCUCUGGAGUCUGAUAUUAGCCUGCUGCCAGCACCUGACGGCACCAUAAGAACCGAAGUUUGACGUCAGUUCCGCUGUAAACAACAGGGACACGUGUGCUGCCCUCCAGAGGUCAACUCCAACAAUACAGCAAAAUCACAGGAAAAGAGUUUUCCACAAAAAAAAGGCAGAUCUAACUGGAAGGAGACCCCAUUGUAGACCCAACACUCAUUAGAGGGAUUACAUAUCUCAUCUGUCCCGGAAUGUCUUGGCAUUGGAGCUGGAAAAUGCUGCUGCAGAGAGGAGAUCUGAAAUGACUUGCUUGGCCUGCUGCCUCUACGACCCAACCCUGAUCAAAUGGAUGGACGGACAUUGCUUGUGUAAUCAAUAACUGCACAAGCUGAAUAAUGUGAGAGUGUGU